GUAACACGUAAGCAACCUGCCCUGAAGUGGGGGACAACAGUCCGAAAGGACUGCUAAUACCGCAUGUGGACGUUGGUCGGCAUCGAUCAUCGUCUAAAGCUUUAUGCGCUUCAGGAUGGGCUUGCGGCCUAUCAGCUUGUUGGUGGGGUAACGGCCUACCAAGGCUUUGACGGGUAGCUGGUCUGAGAGGACGAUCAGCCGGAUUGGGACUGAGAUACGGCCCAGACUCCUACGGGGGGCAGCAAUUAGGAAUCUUGCACAAUGGGGGAAACCCUGAUGCAGCGACGCCGCGUGCGGGAUGACGGCAUUCGUGUUGUAAACCGCUUUUAUCGGGGAAGAAGAAUGUGACGGUACCCGGUGAAUAAGCCCCGGCUAACUACGUGCCAGCAGCCGCGGUAAUACGUAGGGGGCGAGCGUUGUCCGAAGUUACUGGGCGUAA
This 439-nucleotide ribosomal RNA is filed under the name uncultured bacterium. RNAcentral's name for it is "bacterial SSU rRNA". It matches the Rfam family "Bacterial small subunit ribosomal RNA", at positions 110 to 563 of the family's 1533-position model. The record is from RNAcentral.